AGUGAACGCUGGCGGUAGGCCUAACACAUGCAAGUCGAACGGCAGCACAGUAAGAGCUUGCUCUUACGGGUGGCGAGUGGCGGACGGGUGAGGAAUACAUCGGAAUCUACUUUUUCGUGGGGGAUAACGUAGGGAAACUUACGCUAAUACCGCAUACGACCUACGGGUGAAAGCAGGGGAUCUUCGGACCUUGCGCGAUUGAAUGAGCCGAUGUCGGAUUAGCUAGUUGGCGGGGUAAAGGCCCACCAAGGCGACGAUCCGUAGCUGGUCUGAGAGGAUGAUCAGCCACACUGGAACUGAGACACGGUCCAGACUCCUACGGGAGGCAGCAGUGGGGAAUAUUGGACAAUGGGCGCAAGCCUGAUGCAGCCAUGCCGCGUGAGUGAAGAAGGCCUUCGGGUUGUAAAGCCCUUUUGUUGGGAAAGAAAAGCAGCAGGUUAAUACCCCGCUGUUCUGACGGUACCCAAAGAAUAAGCACCGGCUAACUUCGUG
RNAcentral lists this ribosomal RNA (492 nucleotides) under uncultured bacterium. RNAcentral describes it as "partial 16S ribosomal RNA". It matches the Rfam family "Bacterial small subunit ribosomal RNA", at positions 29 to 507 of the family's 1533-position model. The record is from RNAcentral.